AAAAAAAAAAAAAAAAAAAAAUGAUAAUAAUAAUAAUAAACUUGAUUUUAAUUUGUUUCAUUCGUUUUUCCAUUGGUUG
RNAcentral lists this non-coding RNA (79 nucleotides) under Pessonella sp. PRA-29. Lineage: Eukaryota; Discosea; Flabellinia; Vannellidae. The record is from RNAcentral.